This 482-nucleotide ribosomal RNA is filed under the name Filifactor sp. canine oral taxon 064. RNAcentral's name for it is "bacterial SSU rRNA". It matches the Rfam family "Bacterial small subunit ribosomal RNA", at positions 9 to 469 of the family's 1533-position model. The record is from RNAcentral. Lineage: Bacteria; Bacillati; Bacillota; Clostridia; Peptostreptococcales; Filifactoraceae.
GAGUUUGAUCCUGGCUCAGGAUGAACGCUGGCGGCGUGCUUAACACAUGCAAGUCGAACGGACGAAUCUUAUCGGAGUUUUUCGGAACAAAGAAAAGAUAAGUUAGUGGCGGACGGGUGCGUAACGUGUGGGUAAUCUGCCUUUGUCAUGGGAAUAACUGCUUGAAAGAGCAGCUAAUACCGAAUAACAUAUGCAAUAGGCAUCUAUUGGAUAUCAAAGAGAAAUCGGACAAAGAUGAGCCCGCAUCUGAUUAGCUAGUUGGUAGGGUAACAGCCUACCAAGGCAACGAUCAGUAGCCGACCUGAGAGGGUGAACGGCCACAUUGGAACUGAGACACGGUCCAAACUCCUACGGGAGGCAGCAGUGGGGAAUAUUGCACAAUGGGGGGAACCCUGAUGCAGCAACCGCCGCGUGAGUGAAGAAGGCUUUCGAGUCGUAAAACUCUGUUGUAAGGGAAGAUAAUGACNGUCCUAAAGAGCCNC